AUGAUUUAUAGAACAAACUAAAGGCGAUGCAGUGCAGAACGCGCUAACAUGCAAUUAUUAUUAUAUUAAUUGCAGCAAUUAGAAGCACCACUCCUCCCCCACUCCUCUACUCCCAGGCCCCAGCCCCAGAGGACACAGGGAGGGUACAGACGGAGGCCAUGACCACAUAGCAGAACACGGGGAGAGAGACCGGCCGGGGGCCGGGCCCGUGACCCGUGAGGACGAGGGCAGCAUCACCGGAGACGGAGACGGAGAGCGUCGGUGGGCGCGGCCGACCCAGGAGGAAAUUUUCACUGCGCUAUUGACUCCUGUGGUGUUGGGCCUCACUGGGCCUGGCGAGCUACGAAGCAAGAGCGUCGGUGAGAGUUGUUCGUUUUAGCUGCGCGACAGGGCGUUAACCCCAAGAGGCCCAGCGCCUCGCCGCCACCAAGCGCAGGGCCGCUACCUCCUUGCCGUCAGAUCCUCCGCCCGCCGCCGCUCUUCUCUCUGUUGGGGUGCGGUGAAGACUCCUUGCUACUCGUGUCGCAAGUGUAUUAUCGCGAAAUUGUUGUCUGGGACAACAAGAAUGCCAUAAGGAACCACAGAUAAUCGUGCGGUGGUUAACUGGUUAUGGAUAAUGACAAUGGCGAUGUGGAUGACCUGGGUUCAGGGUGGUUUGAAGUGAAAAAGAAACAUCGGUCCAGCUCAAAAUACACAUUGCAGAGGUCUUCAGGUGGUUCCAGCCAUAAAAUUCCAAACUUACUAUCACGGUCAGGUGCUAACAGUGACAGUUCAAGGUGGCAUGACAAACUGCAACACCCAUCUCCGAGCAUAAAUGCUAAUGUUGGUGUUGAUGGGUCUGGUAGUGGAGAGACAACAAAUGUUCAUGGUGAAGGGUGCAAUGAUGUAAGCACCAGCCCCAGUGGCCUGAAUAGUGGCUUAAAUGCUUCAGCCUCAGAGGAUAGAGUAGAAAGACUUGAAGAACUGGCGGUGGCUGAAAAAACAAGUGAAUCUCCCGAAAAUGAUCUGGCUGAUCAUGCAGAUCCUUCACUGCCUCAUGAACCAUCCACCUGUUCAGGCAGUCCUGCAAAAUGCGCAGAUCUUUCUCAGCAUGUAAAAUGUUCUCCAAAAACAGAGUCUGUAGGUGUUUUGUCCAUUACUCCUGUCAAGUUUGGAGACUUUGAUGAAGUUCCAGGUCUAUCAUUACCUUCAGAUUCAUACAGAGACAAUAAUACUUCUAGAGGCCACAGACAUACUGAAGAUGUUGCACAUUUAAAAAAUGUGCAAAAAGAUGCAAGUGAACUCAAACCGGAGACAGACACUUGUACUACAAUUGAUGAGGCAUCUCCAAUUAUGGUACAAGGAACAGAGACACCCAAUCAUGAUAGUGGUUUGAUAGCCUCAGUUGAUUCUGUUACCCUAUCCUGCUCCAAAAAUGAUCAUGAAGUUCCAGUUACAUCUUCAUCUGUUCCUGUUGCUUCCAUGGAAGGUAGAACGUUACUUCAUGACGAAGCACCAGCUUCUGCAGAUUUUGGAUCUGAAACUGCUGAGAGCAAAGAAAGAUUCAGGCAGAGGCUAUGGUGUUUUCUUUUUGAGAAUCUGAAUAGGGCUGUUGAUGAACUUUACCUCCUCUGUGAACUAGAAUGUGACAUGGAACAGAUUAAUGAAUCCAUACUUGUCCUUGAAGAAGCUAUUUCUGAUUUUCAAGAACUUAAAUCCAGAGCAGAGCAUUUUGAUAAUACCAAAAAAUCUCCUGGUGUACCAAAGGAGGGCAUGCCAAUGGCUGUGAAAGCUGACCAUAGGAGACCUCAUGCCUUGUCUUGGGAGGUCAGAAGAAUGACAAGUUCUCCACACAGGCAAGAAAUACUGUCUUCAUCUCUAGAGGCCUUCCAGAGAAUCCAAUUGGAACUGGCAUGCAAGCAGGCUGGUAUAGCAGCAGAAAGAUUUACAUCCAGCUCUUCUGAAAAAGUUUUGGGUAGUUCAUCAAAGCUGACUACAGCAUCGGCAACUGUUAGGAAUAUAAGUUUGAAAGUUGAGAGUCAGGUGAAACUUCCUGAUACCAGCGUGAAAAAGAUUGCUGGCGAGAAGCUAAGUAGGGAUGCAUUCAAGUCUGGUAAGUCGUAUCCACAAAGUAUGCCUUCAUAUUCUGCAAGGAGUAGAAGAGGGUCAUUAGAACCAAUCUCUGAAAUAGAGAAACACACCUUUAAGAAGGACAGGGAGUUGCUAGAAAACAAAUUUGACAGGCUCAAGUCAACCGAUGUUGUUAAAAAGACUACAGCUCAUCUUGAAAAGGAAAAGCAAAUUACAGCACCUUGGAAGUCCAUGGAUGCCUGGAAGGAGAAAAGAAACUGGGAAGAUAUACUGAAAUCUCCUGUACGGAGUUCUCGUGUUUCUCACUCUCCAGGUGUUGGAAGAAAAGUUACAGACCGCGCUCGUGUUCUACAUGACAAGUUGAUGUCUCCUGAAAAGAAAAAAAGAAGUGCUUUGGAUAUGAAAAAAGAAGCAGAAGAAAAGCAUGCGCGUGCACUGCGAAUUAGGAGUCAACUAGAGAGCGAGAGGGUUCAGAGGCUACAACGUACCUCUGAAAAGUUGCAUCGUGUCAAUGAGUGGCAGGCUGUACGCAGCUCAAAACUGAGAGAAGUAAUGAAUGCACGUCAUCAACGUGGUGAAUCUCGUCACGAAGCAUAUCUUGCUCAGGUUGCAAAAAGAGCUGGUGAUGAGAGUACUAAGGUCAAUGAGGUCCGUUUUAUAACAUCACUGAAUGAAGAAAACAAGAAAUUCUUGCUGAGGCAGAAACUUCAUGAUUCUGAGAUGCGGAGAGCUGAAAAGCUACAGGUGAUCAAAACAAAGCAAAAGGAGGACACUGCAAGGGAAGAAGCUGUUUUGGAGCGAAGGAAGUUCCUUGAAGCUGAGAAGAUGCAACGCCUUGCUGAAAUACAGCGCAAGAAAGAAGAAGCUAUUUUCAGAAGAGAAGAGGAGCGCAAAGCAUCUAGUGCUGCACGGGAAGCAAGGGCUGCAGAACAACAACGUCGAAAAGAGAUAAGAGCAAAAGCGCAACAAGAGGAAGCUGAACUUUUAGCCCAAAAGUUAGCUGAAAAACUUCGUGAAAGUGAGCAGCGGCGCAAGUAUUACCUAGAACAAAUACGAGAGCGAGCCUCAAUGGAUCUUAGGGAUCAGCCUUCACCUUUUCAGCGUCGCUUUCCAAGUAAAGAUUGCCAAAACCGUUCUAGUUCUGCUAACAGCGGAGAAGAUUCACAGACAACUGGCAAUUCCAGUGCUGCAGAUUCUAUGGUUAAGUCAUCGAAUAAUGCACAGAUAAAACGAAGGAUUAAAAAGAUUCGCCAGAGAUUAAUGGCUCUAAAGCAUGAAUUUAUUGAACCAUCCAUAGGUGAAAGUACAGGAAUCACGCACAGGUCUGGUCUUGGAGCUGCCAAAGCUAAGCUAAGUAGAUGGCUUCAAGACCUUCAGAGACUUCGUCAAGCUAGAAAAGAAGGUGCUGCCAGUAUUGGAUUGAUUGUCAGUGACAUAGCGAAGUAUUUAGAAGGGAAGGAUCUUGAGCUGCAUGCAUCAAGACAAGUUGGUUUGCUUGACUUUAUUGCGUCUGCAUUACCUGCGUCACAUACUUCAAAGCCUGGAGCUUGUCAAGUCACUGUCUACCUUUUGCGCCUGUUGAGAGUGUUGCUCUCACUUCCAGCUAAUCGAACUUAUUUUCUAGUACAAAAUCUUUUACCCCCAAUUAUUCCCAUGCUAUCAGCAUCACUGGAGAAUUAUAUUAAGGUGGCAGCAUCCAACUCUGGAAGUUCAAAUCUUUUGUCUAAUAAAACAUCAGCUGAGACUACAGAGUCAUCGGGUGAAGUGUUAGAUGGAUUUUUAUGGACUGUGGCCAUGAUCGUUGGCCAUGUACACAUCAAUGGUGAACAACUUCAAAUGCAGGGAGGUUUGAUAGAACUGAUUGUAGCUUAUCAAAUAAUUCAUCGUCUGCGAGAUCUGUUUGCACUUUAUGAUAGGCCACAGGUGGAAGGAUCCCCACUCCCAUCAUCUAUACUGUUUGGCCUCAACCUUUUGUCCGUAUUAACAUCCAAACCGGGAAAUUUCUCUACUAUCGAUUGGGAGUCCUGCAAAUGCAGGACACUAGGUGGAAAUAUAGUGCAAGAAUAUGAAUAUCUUAGUUCACAGGACAGUUUGGGGUGUCAAUCAAUGACACUUGAUCAGUUUGGUGAUGCCAAAUCGCCAACCAUAUACAGUGAACUGGCUGAAGAUAGCAAAUCCUGUAAACAACAUGACUUGAGCAUUCCUGUGGACAGAAAAUUGGUUGAUGAAGCUAGUAAAGACUUGUUAGUGAUGGCUGCUGGCCUGAACAACUCAGCAAUGCAACCAUCUGAUUUGGGCAUUACUACAGAGAAGCAUUCUGGAAAUCCUAGCCAGGGAGAUGAAAAUAACACAGUGGACAGUUUUCUUGAAGGAAGAAAGACGAAUAAUGUAUGUGCAUUGUAUAGUAGUUCAGGAAAAGGCAAUGAGAUGAACCUUAAGCAGCCUGCAAUGCUCUUACUUUCUGCACUGGCUGAGACUGGCCUUGUUACUCUACCAUCACUUUUGACUGCUGUGUUGCUCCAGGCAAACAACAACAGGUCAUCAUCAGAGCAGACAUUGGCGAUUCUUCCAUCAAAUUUUGAAGAAGUAGCCACUGGUGUAUUGAAAGUUUUGAAUAAUAUGGCACGUUUGGAUAUAACCCUUUUGCAGCACAUGCUGUCUAGAUCAGAUCUAAAGAUGGAGUUCUUCCAUUUAAUCAGCUUCCUUUUGAGUCAUUGCAUGAACAAAUGGAGAGUGCCAAACGAUCAGGAAGUUGAUGACUUGGGGAGUUGGGGUACUGGAUCAUGUUAUAGUUUCUGCCAGGCUUGACCAUUUGUGACCCUUUUGGAUAUUAUUACCAAGAAAUUUGGACAUACUGCCAUUUUACACCUGAAUCUCAUGGUUGGUUUGCUGCUUCUAGAGUCUCUGCUACUUCUUGGCUACUUUUCUUUGUUCCAUGCUGGGAACCAAGCUGUUCUUCGGUGGGGAAAGAGUCCCACUAUACUUCACAAGGUGUGCGACCUGCCAUUUGUUUUCUUCAGCGACCCCGAGUUGAUGCCCAUCUUGGCUGCUGCUCUGAUCGCUGUUUGCUACGGUUGCGAUCAGAACCUAAGCGUUGUACAGCAGGAAAUAAGCACGGAUAUGCUGCGCUGCUUGCUCAAGUCCUGCCAAACUUCAGGAUCAAAUUCUCCAGAUUCCAUUGCUGUGGAUGGUUCUGGAAACAAUUCCACUGAAAGCAUUCUGGAUAUCAGGAACUCACAGGGUGACAUCCCAACAAGGUCAAGCCGCAAAAUUGGACGGCCAGUUAUUGGGAAGGGUGUUUCAGGGGGUAUCAGAUUCAACAGAAAUAAGGUUCAGAAGGAUGGUAGGGGAACAAGAGCAAUUGACGAUGGGCCUCUGAAGCAAAGAGCUCAAGAAGCUGCAUCGAACUUCAUGUUGCAUAGAAAGAUCCCAGCUUCUUUUUUGGACAGAGCCGAGGAGUUCUUCUGCAGUGAGACAUGAAAUCGGCCCUGUGGUUCGCCUAACUUGUAUGGCACGAGCUACUGAAUUUACUGUUUUGCAAGGAUGGUGUUUCCUGACCUGAUAUUUUGAUCGAAUCUGUAGUCUACAGAUUAAAAAAAUGAGUCAUGUACGGAAACGAAUGCACUGUUUGUACAGAAACACAGAAGAAAAAACUGAUAAGAGAAUCUGAUUUCGUAUGAAAGAAAGGAACUGUCCAUAAUUUACUUA
Zea mays is the source of this 5778-nucleotide RNA transcript. RefSeq lists it as uncharacterized. NCBI's taxonomy places the organism in Eukaryota, Viridiplantae, Streptophyta, Magnoliopsida, Poales, Poaceae. The transcript is spliced from 10 exons. The record is from RefSeq and is marked validated.